Ruditapes philippinarum (Manila clam) is the source of this 2258-nucleotide long non-coding RNA. RefSeq lists it as uncharacterized. The record is from RefSeq and is a predicted model, not a curated record. NCBI's taxonomy places the organism in Eukaryota, Metazoa, Mollusca, Bivalvia, Venerida, Veneridae. The transcript is spliced from 4 exons.
UUCUUCUCAUAAUUACAUAUUUAACAACUAGUAUGGCUAAUGAGUACAAAAUUUUGGAGGUACUACACUACAAGGCAGAAGAGAAUAUCUGUACUUGCAAGCAGUCUUGAAGACCUUCUGAAGAAAGGUAAGUAUUUUUACACACUACAGCACAAUUACAACACAGUGUUAGGUUGUGUGCUCAAAAGAGGAAUCUCAGAAUUAUUUAGAAUAUAAAGCCUUGUCAUGAGAAAAUCUGUACAGGUGUGACUACUGUACAGCCACAGUUGAUGGCGUAAAACACUUUGUGAAAGUCUGGUGAUCCAGAUGCCAAGUAAAGCCGAUAUGUGAAUAGAAAAAAAUAGACAUUUCACAGUAUCAUAGCUUUAUUUACAUUUGAAUUGAUUUUUUAAAAAAAGAAAUGUGAUUCUACCUUUCUGUGUUUAAUUUUUACUACAUUUGCAAAUUCAAUAAAUUAUCAUCAUGUAAGUAUUACCUAAUUGCAAUAACUAUUGUCCUCCACUUUGAUUUUCACAAACAUUCAACAUGGUGAACCCUAAAUGUUAAUCAUAUUAUUCACAAAAUUUUAGCCUUGCAAAAAUAUCUGAUUUCACAGUAUAAAGAAAAUUCAAACAAGUAGACUAAAAAAAACACAAACUUUUCACAAAAUAUAAUAAUCAUGUUAACAGUAAAACAAACCCUACUUGAUGAUAUUAUUUAGAAUUUUCUUAAAAGAAAGGAACAGUUGUCAAAAUUUAAUUUGAGUUCUAUAUAUGCUGUUGAGAUCCAUUUGUGAUGGCAGAAAUCAUAUUCAUGAAUAUAACUACGGAUCUCAUCUAUAUAAUAUUUGAUAGCUACAAUACAUAAUUGUUAUGUUAGAAUGACUGUGUUAUGUUUAACAGAAAAGAUCUGUAGUUUGAUAAAUAAUUCAAAUAGUUUGAUACUUCGAUCUAGUUGGUAUUGAUGACUAUUUCUCAGAAACACUAACUCAAGUUUUAUUCAAUAUUUUAGCUGGUGACAAGCAACAGUUGCAAGGAGGAAGUUUGAUUGUUGUGCUGGAAAAAGAUAGAAAUGGCAGAAAACGCCAUCCUUGACAUAUUCAAAACUAAGUAUUGAUGCUUCUAGGGAAGAAAACGCCAUCCUUGACAUAUUCAAAACUAAGUAUUGAUGCUUCUAGAAGACCAACAAAUAUGAGAACCUGAUAUUCCAAAAGACACUGUUGUAAUGUUUUGGCAGACACCCAAGAUGCCAACAUGUCAAAGACUGAGACAGAGUCCACAACUAUUACCACAGCGACAGAAAUUGUAACACCAUCUUAUGUUGUUGGAAAUUAAAUUAAUUCUUGCAGUAGGCCACAUCCAACCAUUUGUUGACUAGAGAUAUUGUUUGAAGCAGUAGCUACACUUAAACCUGGAGGAAAAGAGUGCAAAGAUGAUUUGGACGUUAUAAGAGCCAUAGAAAGUAAUACAGGAUUCAAACAUGGAAAGGGGUGCAAGACUAGAUAAAUUGUAGUUCUACAUAAGGAUAUUGAAGAAGCUAAUCCGUCAAAGGUCCUGUCAUCACAGCCUAAUUCUCCUCCAAGUGAAGCCUUGUUUUUAUUUUUAACAACAUAGAACUGGACAAACAGUAUAUUGUUGGAGACCAGUGCAAGAUACCACUUGAGACAGAUAGCCUCAUGGAAGGGCUAUUCUUAUUAAUAAGCUGGUAUUAUAUAAUGGAUCUAGAAAAUCCCACUGCUUUUCACAACUCCUUGGAUUCAUGCAACAAACAGUAUUUAAACAAGCCUUUCUUAGUCACAAGUCGGCUGGGAAUUUACACUUUGUGGAAAAAUUGGAAAAACUAAUGAACAAAUACAACCAACAUUUUAAAUUAAAUUCAACCUUCUGUGUCAUGGACAUAUUAUUGACUUCUUAACAGCUUACCUUUUACCAUGAAAAAACCUGCUUUUUUGCACUUGCAAAAACAAAGGUGCAGAAUAGCUGUGUGGUAACCAUCAGCUGAUCAGUGCCUUUAUUUUUGCUGCAUAGAUGGUGCAAUCCCUCCCAUUCCUUAAUCAGACAUUUAAAUCAUCUUGAUGUCUGAACAUCAAGCUGUAUAUUUUGGCUCUAUUUGAAAUAGCAAAUGUCAAGUGUCAAUAUUUUUCAAAACAGCUAAGACUAUGCUUCUUUUUAGGAACUUUUAAAUCCAGUGAUUUAUCAAAUUAUUAUUCACUAGCAGAAAAUAUUGACUUAAUAAUGCAGUGUUUAAACACUAAUUUUAUUAUCUAUGACAUCAGUAUG